Molecule: long non-coding RNA, 3039 nt
Filed under: Ananas comosus (pineapple)
Lineage: Eukaryota; Viridiplantae; Streptophyta; Magnoliopsida; Poales; Bromeliaceae
Description: long non-coding RNA (ACOM_LNC031689)
Source: RNAcentral
AACUCAGUUCUGGGCGCCCAGAACUUCCAGCCUACACAAACAGUACCUCGGUUCCUCCGUCCGACGGUAAGCUACACCACUAUCCGGUUUCGGCGGAUCUCACCUACCACACCCACGUGUCAACAUAAUCGAUAUUCACGAUGUGAAUUUUCAUAUCCAAUUUUCAGGCGCCCUAAACAGGGUCCAAAAUAGUUGCAACAUCUAAUACAAAACAGCACUCAAGAUCUGGGGGCCCUAAACCCAUUUCUGGGCGCCCUAAACUUGCAAAACUUCAGUUUUGCUUAUUUGAGUGCGUCAAGUCCAUUUCUGCAUCCAUUUCCUGUAAAAACGACUCCGACUCAGUCCGAUACUCUCCAGAUGUGUCGACUAGUCGCUGAUACUGUACUCAUUCCGUCAACUAAACCCUAGGGACACUACACUGGGAAUAACUCAAUUUUCAUCCAAACGCAAAAUUAGUCUAUUCCAGACUAACACCUAAACUUAUAUCUAUCCCUGGAAUAACUAGUUCUUACUUAACCCCAAACCAAACGAAGUUGUACUCUUAGGUAUCGUUUGGUUCGAGGAUAAGAAAAAAGUGGCUAUUCCAGGGAUAUGUAUAAAUUGAGGUAUAAGCGAGGAUUAGAUCAAUUUUGCGUUUGGAUGAAAAUUGGAUUAUUCCUGGAAUAAAAAAAAUAGCGUUUGGUUAGGUAAGAUGGAAUAAGAAAGAUAAUGGGUUUUGUAAAUAAAAAAUAAUGAUAUUAUCCACUUAUUAUAUUUGAAUUUGAAUUUUUAAAUUUUUAAAUUUAUAUUUCUAAAUUUAAAAUUUUAACUUUGAAAUUUAAAAUCUCAAAUUUUAAAUUCAAAAUUUUAAAUUUUAAAUUUCAAACUUUAAAUUUAAGAUCAUAUUUAAAUUUAAAAAAAUAUAAAAUAUCAAAUUUUAAAUUUCAAAAAUUUAAAAUAUCAAAAUUUAAAUUUAAAAUUUAAAAUUUAUAAUUUAAAUUUUAAACUUUAAUUUUGAGAUUAUAAAUUAUAAAUUUUAAAAAUUUAAAUUUUUAAUUUUUAAAAUUUUAAAAUAAGAAUAGUGGUGGGAACCAUUAAUAAAAAUAAUUUAUUAUAAUAAAUUUAUAAAUUUUUUUAAAAUUCUACUUAAAUUUAAAUUUAAUAAAAAGAAUUUUUUAUAAUAUUUAAAUAUAAUUUAUUAUAAAUUUUAUUAUAAUAUUUAAAUAUAAAUAAUAUGUAUUAAUAUAGUACAAUUAAUAAUUUUAUAAUAAAAAUAAUGUAUUAUAAUAUAUAACAUAUUAUAUUUAUAUAAUUUAGUUUAAUUUAAUUUAUAAGUUUAAUUGAGUUUGAAAUUAAGCAUUGGAAUAGCACUGUUCCACCAAAAUGGUAGAAUAGCAAAUCCCUUGCUAUUCCGGGAUAACCGGGAAUAGCAAGGUUUGACCGGGAUAAAAUAUCCCAGCCAAAUUUCAUCCCGUUUGGCGGAAUAGCGGGGAUAACUUUCAUUAUCCCCGCUUAUCCCACGAUCCAAACGGGGCCUUAGGUAGCAUUUGGUUCGGGAACAACGGGGGGAAUAAGCCCUUGUUCCCCCCCUUUCUUUCCAAACGUGAUGUUUGGUACCCGAGAACAGUAGUUCUCGGAAUUCUGGAACAAGCUAGUCUAAGGCUGAAACUGCUGUUCCACCAUUUUCCUGGAACAAGCUUGUUCUUUGAUGAGAACAAGGUUAAUUAAAAUCUAAAUUUAAUUUUAAUAGCAGUAAAUUAUUAAUUAAUCUAAUUAAUAUAUUUAAAUAAUUAUUUAUUGCUUUAAUAAUUAAAUAAUUAAAUAAUUUAUUCUUUAUAAUUAAUUAUUAAUAAUUAAUAAUAAUUAUUAUUAUUUAUUAAUAUUUAUUAAUAAUUAUUAUCCUUAAUAGUUAGAUAAUCGAUAUUAUUAUUAAUUUAUUAUUUAUAAUUAAUUAUUAAUAAUUAUUAAUUAGACAUCGCUAUUACUAUUAAAGUUUAUUAUCUUAUAAAUCAUUAUUCAAUAAGUUAGAUAUAAUAAUUUUAAUUUAUCUACUAAUAAUAUUAUUAAUAAUUAAAAAUAAUUACUUAUUACUUAUUAAUAUUUAUUAAUAAUUAUUAUCCCUAAUAAUUAGAUAAUCGAUAUUAUUAUUACUUUUUUAUUUAUAAUUAAUUAUUAAUAAUUAGAUAAUAAUUAUUAUUAUUAAUUUAUUACUAAUAAUUAAUUAUUAAUAAUAAUUAUUAUUUAUUAAAAAAUAUUAAUAAUUAUUAUUAUUAUUAAUUAGAUAAUCGAUAUUAUUAUUAUUAUUAAUUAGAUAAUCGGUAUUAUUAAUUUAUUAUUUAUAAUUAAUUAUUAAUGAUUAAUUUAUUAUUUAUUUUUAAGUAAUAUUUUGAUGUUAAUUAAUUAUAUAAUAUAAUUUUAAUUUCAAAUUAUAACUUUUAUUCCUCUUGUUCCAAUCUAACCAUCCAAACACUAUUUACUUUAUUCCUAGGAACAACCCAAUUUUGGAAUAGACUAUAAAUUUUAUUGUCUAGAUUACUGAAUUUUAUAGACAAUACCAAACAUAGCAAUGCAAUAAACAUUGCAAUCCAGCAUUACAUUACUGUAUUAAAACAAUCACGCUAAUAUAGCAUCAGUAAUAAUCUCAUUUAGAAUUCCAAGAUACUUGGAUAUAUCGAAAUACUCGGUAAUAUUACAUGACUCGAACCAAACGUAUCCUAAUAGAUAAUUAAGAGAUUAGGCCGAAUCAGUUUAUGAUUGUUAUCCUAAUAUGGCUAAGAUAUAUCUCUAAUUAGCUUUUCAAUUUUAAAGCGAAAUUAAUUCUAGUCCAAUUAGACAAUAUAAUAACCAUCAAAUCGAGCCCGAUCAUAAGCGCACCUGGUUCAGUUUAACCGAAUGCCAACAAUAACUAAAUAACGACGACAAGUAAUGUGGUCGUUUGUAAGGACUGAGAUUUUUGCAGUGUAGCUAAACUCUCAGUUGACGAUGUUUUUGUGUGUAAUUUAAUUACAAAAGCACUCGUCAAGUUUCGGGCGAAAACGAGUUAAAACGGAAAUUCUACGC